This 1223-nucleotide long non-coding RNA is filed under the name Pan troglodytes (chimpanzee). RNAcentral's name for it is "long non-coding RNA NONPTRT014435". Lineage: Eukaryota; Metazoa; Chordata; Mammalia; Primates; Hominidae. The record is from RNAcentral.
GAGGAGUGAAAGGGGUGAGUGAAUACAGCACCCUCAGCUGAAAUACCUAGGUUAUUGCACCCCACAGAUCUUUGCAACCCACGGAUCAGGAGAUCCCCUCGUGAGCCCAUGCUACCAGGGCCUUGAGUCUGACACACAGAGCUGUGUGGAGUCUUGGCAGAACAGCUGCUCAGGCACAUUGGAAUUCCACCUGGCCACCAGCAACAGAGUGGAGACUGCCUGAGACCAGACGGAGCCCAUGGAGAGAGGGGCAGGCUGCCACCUGGAUUGCUGGAUAACUCAGCUGUUCCAACCUGCGGGCUUUGGAGAGUCCAAAGGGUCCCAACGAGGAAGGGUCCCCCCAGCAGUGAACCACAGCAGCUUUGCCAGUUAAAGGCCAGACUGCUACUUUAGGCAGGACAUCAAUCCAUUCCUCCUCACUGGACGGGACCUACCUGGUGGGCCCACCAGCCAUGCCCAAGCGCAUGUAUUAGGGACAGAGCUCUGAUGUCUCCCUGGGAUGGAGUGCCUGGAAGAGGAAAGGGCCACCACCUGGGUUGGUUGGAUAACUCAGCCAUUCCAGCCUGCCAGCUUUGGAGAGUCCAAGCCGACUGAGGCAAAGGGGGUUCCCCACCAUGACAGCUGUUUUGUAGAGGUGUGGCCAGACUGCUUCUUUAAGCAGGACUCCAUUAUACUCCUCCUUGUGGGGCGGGUCCUCCCAGCAAACAAACAAACAUACAAACACAAAACAACAAAAACAAAACCACAAGAACUCCAUCCAAAGGUCAGCAACUCAUUUGUAAAUAAGCCCACAAAGAUGAGAAAAAAAAUCAACACAAAAACUCUGAAAACUCAAUAAUCUGGAGUGCCCCUUUAAAAAUGUUGAGGGCAGCCAGAGAGAAAGGCCAGAUCACCUACAAAGGGAAGCGCAUCAGACUAACAGCAGACCUCUCAGUGGAAACCCUACCAGCUGGAAGAGAUUGGUGGCCAAUAUUCAACAUUCUUAAAGAAAAGAAUUUCCUAUCUAGAAUUUCAUAUCUGUCCAAACUAAGCUUCAUAAGAGAAGGAGAAAUAAGAUCCUUUUCAGACAAACAAAUGCUGAGAAAAUUGGUCACCACCAGACCUGUCUUGCAAGAGCUCCUGAAGGAAGCACUAAAUAUGAAAAGGAAAACCUGUUACCACAAUAAUAGUGGGAGACUUUAACACUCCACUGAUUAGACAGAUCAUCAAAACAGAAAAUUAAC